RNAcentral lists this ribosomal RNA (279 nucleotides) under uncultured bacterium. RNAcentral's name for it is "partial 16S ribosomal RNA". It matches the Rfam family "Bacterial small subunit ribosomal RNA", at positions 506 to 784 of the family's 1533-position model. The record is from RNAcentral.
UGCCAGCCGCCGCGGUAAUACGGAGGGGGCUAGCGUUGUUCGGAAUUACUGGGCGUAAAGCGCGCGUAGGCGGAUUGUUAAGUCGGGGGUGAAAUCCCGGGGCUCAACCCCGGAACUGCCUCCGAUACUGGCAGUCUAGAGGUCGAGAGAGGCGAGUGGAAUACCGAGUGUAGAGGUGAAAUGCGUAGAGAUCUGAAGGAACAUCAGUGGCGAAGGCGACCUCCUGGACUGAUAUUGACGCUGAGGUGCGAAAGCGUGGGGAGCAAACAGGAUUAGAUA